RNAcentral lists this ribosomal RNA (468 nucleotides) under uncultured bacterium. RNAcentral describes it as "partial 16S ribosomal RNA". It matches the Rfam family "Bacterial small subunit ribosomal RNA", at positions 28 to 507 of the family's 1533-position model. The record is from RNAcentral.
GACGAACGCUGGCGGCGUGCUUAACACAUGCAAGUUGAACGGAAAGGCCUUUCUUUUGUGGGGUGCUCGAGUGUCGAACGGAUGAGUAACACGUGAGUAACCUGCCCUUGACUUUGGGAUAACUUCAGUAAACUGGGGCUAAUACCGGAUAGGAGCUCCUGCUGCCUGGUGGGGGCUGGAAAGUUUCGGCGGUUGGGGAUGGACUCGCGGCUUAUCAGCUUGUUGGUGGGGUAGUGGCUUACCAAGUCUUUGACGGAUAUCCGGCCUGACCGGGUGACAGGCCACAUUGGGAGUGAGAUACAGCCCACCCUGAUACGGGAGGGAGCAGUGGGGAGUAUAGUUCAAUGGGCGGAAGAAAGAUGGACCGACGCCGCGUGCGUGAUGACGGAAGUCGGGUGGUAAACCGCUUUCGCCUGUGGCGAAGAAUGAGUGACGGUAAUGGGUAAAGAAGCAACGGCUAACUACGUG